RNAcentral lists this ribosomal RNA (492 nucleotides) under uncultured bacterium. RNAcentral describes it as "partial 16S ribosomal RNA". It matches the Rfam family "Bacterial small subunit ribosomal RNA", at positions 29 to 507 of the family's 1533-position model. The record is from RNAcentral.
AGUGAACGCUGGCGGUAGGCCUAACACAUGCAAGUCGAACGGCAGCACAGUAAGAGCUUGCUCUUACGGGUGGCGAGUGGCGGACGGGUGAGGAAUACAUCGGAAUCUACUUUUUCGUGGGGGAUAACGUAGGGAAACUUACGCUAAUACCGCAUACGACCUACGGGUGAAAGCAGGGGAUCUUCGGACCUUGCGCGAUUGAAUGAGCCGAUGUCGGAUUAGCUAGUUGGCGGGGUAAAGGCCCACCAAGGCGACGAUCCGUAGCUGGUCUGAGAGGAUGAUCAGCCACACUGGAACUGAGACACGGUCCAGACUCCUACGGGAGGCAGCAGUGGGGAAUAUUGGACAAUGGGCGCAAGCCUGAUCCAGCCAUACCGCGUGGGUGAAGAAGGCCUUCGGGUUGUAAAGCCCUUUUGUUGGGAAAGAAAAGCAGCAGAUUAAUACCCCGCUGUUCUGACGGUACCCAAAGAAUAAGCACCGGCCAACUUCGUG